Molecule: ribosomal RNA, 485 nt
Filed under: uncultured bacterium
Lineage: Bacteria
Description: bacterial SSU rRNA
Rfam family: Bacterial small subunit ribosomal RNA
Source: RNAcentral
GAUGAACGCUAGCGGCAGGCCUAAUACAUGCAAGUCGAACGGAUAUAUGUUUUUCGGAAUAUAUAUUAGUGGCGCACGGGUGAGUAACACGUACAUAACUUGCCCUCAAGCGGGGGAUAGCCUUGGGAAACUGAGAGUAAUACCCCAUAGAAUUAUUGGACGGCAUCGUUUGAUAAUUAAAACUACGGUGUUUGGGGAUAGAUGUGCGUCUGAUUAGCUAGUUGGUGAGGUAACUGCUCACCAAGGCGACGAUCAGUAGGGGGCGUGAGAGCGUGGCCCCCCCACACGGGGUACUGAGACACGGACCCGACUCCUACGGGAGGCAGCAGUAAGGAAUAUUGGUCAAAUGGAGGGAACUCUGAACCAGCCAUGCCGCGUGAAGGAUGACGGCCCUCUGGGUUGUAAACUUCUUUUGGAUGGGGCGAAAAAACGGGAUUUAUCCUGGACUGACGGUACCAUCAGAAUAAGCACCGGCUAACUCCGUG